UACGAAGGGGGCUAGCGUUGCUCGGAAUCACUGGGCGUAAAGGGUGCGUAGGCGGGUCUUUAAGUCAGGGGUGAAAUCCUGGAGCUCAACUCCAGAACUGCCUUUGAUACUGAGGAUCUUGAGUACGGGAGAGGUGAGUGGAACUGCGAGUGUAGAGGUGAAAUUCGUAGAUAUUCGCAAGAACACCAGUGGCGAAGGCGGCUCACUGGCCCGGUACUGACGCUGAGGUGCGAAAGCCAGGGGAGCAAACGGG
This 253-nucleotide ribosomal RNA is filed under the name uncultured bacterium. RNAcentral describes it as "partial 16S ribosomal RNA". It matches the Rfam family "Bacterial small subunit ribosomal RNA", at positions 524 to 776 of the family's 1533-position model. The record is from RNAcentral.